Molecule: ribosomal RNA, 254 nt
Filed under: uncultured bacterium
Lineage: Bacteria
Description: partial 16S ribosomal RNA
Rfam family: Bacterial small subunit ribosomal RNA
Source: RNAcentral
UACGUAGGGUGCGAGCGUUGUCCGGAAUUAUUGGGCGUAAAGAGCUCGUAGGCGGUGUGUCACGUCGGCCGUGAAAACCUGUAGCUUAACUGUGGGCGUGCGGUCGAUACGGGCAUCACUGGAGUUCGGCAGGGGAGACUGGAAUUCCUGGUGUAGCGGUGAAAUGCGCAGAUAUCAGGAGGAACACCGGUGGCGAAGGCGGGUCUCUGGGCCGAUACUGACGCUGAGGAGCGAAAGCGUGGGGAGCGAACAGG